This 460-nucleotide ribosomal RNA is filed under the name uncultured bacterium. Its description in RNAcentral is "partial 16S ribosomal RNA". It matches the Rfam family "Bacterial small subunit ribosomal RNA", at positions 338 to 795 of the family's 1533-position model. The record is from RNAcentral.
CCUACGGGUGGCAGCAGUGAGGAAUAUUGGUCAAUGGACGAGAGUCUGAACCAGCCAAGUAGCGUGAAGGAUGACUGCCCUAUGGGUUGUAAACUUCUUUUAUAUGGGAAUAAAACGUUCCACGUGUGGGAUUUUGUAUGUACCAUAUGAAUAAGGAUCGGCUAACUCCGUGCCAGCAGCCGCGGUAAUACGGAGGAUCCGAGCGUUAUCCGGAUUUAUUGGGUUUAAAGGGAGCGUAGGUGGAUUGUUAAGUCAGUUGUGAAAGUUUGCGGCUCAACCGUAAAAUUGCAGUUGAAACUGGCAGUCUUGAGUACAGUAGAGGUGGGCGGAAUUCGUGGUGUAGCGGUGAAAUGCUUAGAUAUCGCGAAGAACUCCGAUUGCGAAGGCAGUUCACUGGACUGCAACUGACACUGAGGCUCGAAAGUGUGGGUAUCAAACAGGAUUAGAUACCCCAGUAGUC